This 385-nucleotide unclassified non-coding RNA is filed under the name uncultured Phycisphaeraceae bacterium. RNAcentral describes it as "contains 16S-23S intergenic spacer region". Lineage: Bacteria; Pseudomonadati; Planctomycetota; Phycisphaerae; Phycisphaerales; Phycisphaeraceae. The record is from RNAcentral.
UCCGGCUUGACGCCGGCAGUCUCGCCAGAGUACUCGCCAUGACGCGUGAGCAACUGACGACAGGGGUUGCGCUCGUUAGAGGACUUAACCCGACACUUCACAGCACGAGCUGACGACAGCCAUGCAGCACCUGUGCACGUUCCACCCUUGCGGGUGUGGCCCCACUUUCAUGGGGUUAAUCCGUGCAUGUCAAACCCAGGUAAGGUUCUUCGCGUUGCCUCGAAUUAAGCAACAUGCUCCACCGCUUGUGUGAGCCCCCGUCAAUUCCUUUGAGUUUUAGCCUUGCGACCGUACUCCCCAGGCGGCGCGCUUAGCGUUUUUACUUCGACCGAUCCCGCGUGAGAGCGGCACCGAUCUAGCGCGCAUCGUUUACGGCGUGGACUAC